UGUUAUUUUGGCAGAUUAGUGCGAUAAAUUUAGAAUUUAUUAAUGUAUAUUUUAUACAGAUAAUA
RNAcentral lists this transfer RNA (65 nucleotides) under Elodes minuta. Its description in RNAcentral is "tRNA-Leu". Lineage: Eukaryota; Metazoa; Arthropoda; Insecta; Coleoptera; Scirtidae. The record is from RNAcentral.